UAAGUGUGAAAAACGGUCAUAGGUCAUUUUUCUCAGUGCUGUUAUAACUUCAAACGGUCACUAAACGAACUGUUGUAAGUCAAGGACUAUCUGUAUUACUGACAGACUGAGUAUUCUGAUAGUUACAACCAGGCUUUUGAUUGAUGUGGUUUUCUCUACAUGGAGUUAUCUUAAAAGAAUGGGAACUCCAAGCUCAUCUACAGAAUCCCUUUUCUCUGUCCUAAUAAUUUCAGAGACAAAUUUGCUUAAGAUAUUUGUUUUUGUUCAGCAUUUUUACUUUAUUCACACAAUUGCAGCAUAAAUCUUUUUUUUUCUAUGCUAGUUCCCUAAUUUAUAUUUGUCUUUCAAGUCUUCUAUUUAACUUCAGAAGCUGGGCAAAUUUGGGCCUGGUUAAUACUUGGAUGAAGGUUACCAAGCAAUAGCAGGGCUUGUAGGAUUUGUUGGGAAUGCAGGAAAAAAAAAUCCCUGAAGAAUACCGUGGAAAAUCACUUCUAGAUCAUUACCCAGACAACUGCAUGGACAUGUCCACAAAGUUGGAAACUCAUGAGGACCAGUACAUUUAAAAAAAAAAAACCCUAACAUUUAACUGGCUUGGAAUUUGGAGACAUUACCUCACUAUCAUAAGAUUACUUUAAAUGGAAAGCAUGUUAAAAUUAAAUAAAUACAUCCUAUUACUCAGGAACAGAUCAUGAAGUGAUGAGCACUGUGCCACACAGGAAGCGAUCGUGGCCCAAAUUAUUCACCCUCAGAAGAAAAAGAGAAAAUAUCUUGCAUAGCAUUUGCCUCUUCUGUUUCUUGCAGGAGUUACGAUGGUAUAGCCCAAAGAAGAAAUUAAGCUUAACAGACCAUAAUAAUGUAAUGGGAAUUAAUAUUCAUUUAAGGCUGAUAAAUUUAUACAUCUUUUAAAACGUGCAGCCUGGGGUGCUGAUGUUCCUGAGCAUCAAAGGAAGCUGUACUACGUAUAUGUUGGUUUCCCACAUAAUGAUUUGACUGCAGUCCUCCACUGAGAAGCACAUUGGCAGCCCAGAAUUACCUUUAUGAAACUACACUGGCAUUUUUCCUCUGCCAAUUUCUCUUUUGUGUGUUUUUUGCAAAAUGUCUACCUUGAAAGGAAUGCAAGCUUGGCUGGCCACAGAGAGAUGUGGGCUUUAACUGAUGGGAAGAUAUUCUUUACCAUAGAUUUCCCUAAUCUUAUUCAGACAUGACAUGCAGAUUUCCCUUUUUGAUAGUGGAUAACAGUAAUUCUGAGAGGCACCCUCCCACAAAAGCCACAGACGUGAGAUUUGACUCAAAUCUUUACCCACGGCUUUGCAAUGCAAAACUGGUGGAAUUUUUGGUACUUUCUGUUUACAGCGAAAACUAUUUUACAGGGGUUUUCCAGCAUCACAGAUAAUUAUACAGCUGGGGAAAGUGGGCGUCACUAGAGGUAGAUUAUUCUGAUGCUCAGUCACCCAACUUUUUAACCUGAAGGAAAUCUGAAGAUGAUUAUAUGUUCAGAUAGUAGUGCCAUCAAUUUAUUAAAACCAAUUCUUCUAUUUUAGCUCCACAAUGAAGCCACAUUGCAAGAUAAAGGGGUCAGCAAGGAUGGGCUUUUGAUUCACAUUUUACAGGCUAGUGCAGAAAUGUUUAUAUUGCUGGGCAAAUGGAAUUGCUGUGUAGUUUUGAACUGCUAGAUACACUCUCAGCAUACCUACAUCUGAAAUUCCACCAACAUUCACCUGAUAGUGUUCUAUAUGCAAAGAGUAAGAGACCAGUUGGAAUAAUAUUUUAUAAUAUUUGCUCCAUACAGACAAGAGCAACCCAAGAAAAAUAAAGGCACAUGUCAAUUACUCUUUUUCUUAAUUUGUUCACACAUCCACAUUAUUUACAAAGAUGUAUCUUAAUUAGGUCUACAGAAUUACAGUACACUAAGGAACACACACAUAUGAGCAAGGUAGUUCAUGAAAACAUAGUACUAGUAAUUUAAACAGCAGAUAUAUCUAUUUAAAAAUACAAAUCGGAAGUGACAGAUGGCAGAUGAAGGCUUUUACUAUUACAAGCAUGAUAUACUGUAUAGAUGGGAAAUUUUAGAAUAAAACUCUGCAAACACUUUGUAAGGGUACCGGGAAGUCAUUCAUACUUGGAUAUGUCCAAUGCAAAUAACCAAGAGAAUUUGUUGAGUUCAAGGCACAGAAGAGUUUAUUAUUACUACCUACACACAAGAAUCUAGUCAACAUUCAAAGCUACAAGGGCAAUUUGGAAAUAAACUUGUGCGUUUGGUGUGCAGGUGAGCAUUAACAUGAACAAUCACAACACUGGAAGUCAGCAUACUCCGAAGCUUGUUAUGGAUGACUCAUCUGAGUUUUCGUAAUGUUUCACAGUAGACUUCUGAACUGAUGGUUGAACCACGCUCCAUGAACUUCACUAGCAGUACUCCUUUGGCAUCUUCACAUUUGGCGGGA
Molecule: long non-coding RNA, 2441 nt
Organism: Crotalus tigris (Tiger rattlesnake)
Lineage: Eukaryota; Metazoa; Chordata; Lepidosauria; Squamata; Viperidae
Exons: 3
Source: RefSeq, a predicted model, not a curated record